GGGUGUGAUCAUACCAGCACUAAUGCACCGGAUCCCAUCAGAACUCCGCAGUUUAAGCAUGCUUGGGCGAGAGUAGUACU
RNAcentral lists this ribosomal RNA (80 nucleotides) under Gossypium arboreum. The record is from RNAcentral. Lineage: Eukaryota; Viridiplantae; Streptophyta; Magnoliopsida; Malvales; Malvaceae.